Molecule: long non-coding RNA, 810 nt
Organism: Oncorhynchus kisutch (coho salmon)
Lineage: Eukaryota; Metazoa; Chordata; Actinopteri; Salmoniformes; Salmonidae
Exons: 3
Source: RefSeq, a predicted model, not a curated record
CUACAGCAACAUCCAUGCACUCCCGCCAGCACUUGUCGCUUUCCGAGGUUGCCAUUUUAUAAUGAGGAACCGAUGCUAUUGUUUUGCCGUUUACAUCACCUUAUUCUAGACAUCCAAGAGUCAGCAAAUUAUAACCUAUUAUGUGGCUUGCGUGCGGUGUAGGCUACGGUCUCUGGUAGGGUCCCGUAAUGGCCGUUGUCCUCUGUCGACUUACUCGAUGCUGCAGACGGGUGCUCUCGCCUCCACUGCCGUGUUAUUGAGUGGAUUUGUGCGGCCUAUAUCUCCGACCUUCGAUACAACACCAUUUGUAAAUAAUGUACGAUUCUACAUCGGUUGCGAAGGACCUUGAUAGGCGCAAAACAAAUCUCUAAAAUAGUCCCGUCAACGCCGAUGAGACAUGACCAGCCUGUUCGGAACUAAAUAAAAACAACUCCAUGUUAUUGACAGCCAUUGUCAACCUGUAGCCUAUAAAUAAAUCCAAUAAAUAACAUUUGGCGAGGAAAACUCUUGAUUAAACAAUAUUGUAUUUUACGUAUUUAACUCAAGUUAGCUCGGCACGUAGAAUGAAAUAUAUUGCAGGUAACAACGAUGAUGCCAGACGCAUUUUCUCCAGUAAUAACAAAAGGGAUGCCGCAGUGAGAAAGCACUACCCUGUGUACCACCUGAACGAUGCAGAGUGCACUGGGAAGGAUGUCACCUCUCCUGAAGAGCGCCAUCAGGUGUUCCAUGAGCAUUAUGACAUGCUAUACCAGGAAGCUUCUCAAAGGUUUUCACAGUUUUGACCCCUGCCUGACUGGACUACUUUCCCGC